AGGGAAAUGUUUAUUCAUCAGAUCAGCAUAAUGAGAACAGCUCUGAAAACCAGGCUCCCUCAGGGCUAACCUGUGCAGUCUGCAGGUCGACCUACAACGCGCACGAUCGUCGUCCGCUUAUCUUCUCCAGCUGCGGCCACACCUUCUGCGAGGAAUGCCUUAGGACGGAGAACCGCAAGAGUGUGUUCCAGUGCCCUUCUUGCCGGCAGGACCGCGACCAGUUCCGGACGCUGAAGCCUAACUUCGCGCUGCUCGACCUGCUCGAAGCGCUCCAGACAAGCGAGUAAGAGGCAGCAGAUUAUUAUGAUACAGAGUAAACGCGCUGCAGCAUCAUGAAGGAGAAUUGAAGCCCUAAACACAAACACACACAAUGUUUGUGGAAACCUCACGUUGGCAGUGUGAUUAUGCGGUAUCCGUGAAUUGUGGUCACCUACAUUUAUAUAUGAAGUACAGCUUAUUAAGUGAUUAUGUAUAGUUUAUUAGUGUAUAAUAUUCAUGGGAAAUAUUAUGCAGGCACAUCACAUUUAUUUACUCAGUUGAUUUUCAAAGAAUCUAAAUGGAUUCUGACUUUUUGUCAUCCAUACAUAUGGUCAUUGACUGUCCCAAAACCUAAAGAUAGUCCCUGUUAACAAAACUAAAAAGGUUUCACAGAUAAAACUCGAUUGCAAUAUCUCUUUAGGCUGUAAGAAAAGGGAAAAUCUUGCAAUUGGAGCACCAAGAGAAAUCUGGAAGAAAGGGUGUUGCAUUAACAUUAAUUUCUACACCUGAACCAUCGGCUUUAGGUCCAACAUCAAUAAGUUUCAGAGCCAGCACCAGCCUCUCCAUCAGGCAAAGCUGAGGCCUGUUGCGGAUGCUGUUGCAGAAGACUGACCUGAUGAGAUGAGAUACUUAUAUGAACAUGAACAACGAAGGUCAUUGGCUCUGCUAAAAACCCACAGGGACUAAAUUACUGGUAUUACCUUUAGCAUUAUUAACAUUAUUAUUAACAUUAAGAAGUAGGAAAUGAAUAUUUUUUUAAUUAUUAAUAUAUGUGUAGUUUUGAUAAGCUACUUAGUGCAGUCUUCCUUGCCUUUUCCAGGAUUUUUAAACAGUCUUGUAGAGCAGCAGUUUCACAUGAAAAUUAUAACUCUCUCUCUCUCUCUCUCUCUCUCUCUCUCUCUCUCUCUCUCUCUCUCUCUCUCUCUCUCUCU
This is a non-coding RNA of Penaeus vannamei (Pacific white shrimp), 1190 nucleotides long. The record is from RefSeq and is a predicted model, not a curated record. Lineage: Eukaryota; Metazoa; Arthropoda; Malacostraca; Decapoda; Penaeidae.